AAUAGAUGCCGUUUAACAAAGCUGUUUUCCAGUAGAUUUGGUUAGGGGUGUGUCCAGGUGUCUCUACCAAGAGCUGCAGAACAAAUCCUGGCUUUCCCUCACAGCUCUGUUAGCCUAUUCUGCUCAACACAACUGCCCUACGAUCUGAGAGACACCGAGAAAUAAAACAGACACACACACACACACACUUUGAGUUUCAUCACACA
This is a long non-coding RNA of Notothenia coriiceps (black rockcod), 206 nucleotides long. RefSeq lists it as uncharacterized. The transcript has 2 exons. The record is from RefSeq and is a predicted model, not a curated record. NCBI's taxonomy places the organism in Eukaryota, Metazoa, Chordata, Actinopteri, Perciformes, Nototheniidae.